UCCAACCUAGAAAAUUCUGUGAUUCUGUGAUAAUCAAGUGGAAGCUGAGUCUUUUAAUAAAGAAUACUGGAUAAACUUAACUACAGCUAUUUCUACGUACCCCCUCCUAUAAUAAGUGAACAGGUGGGCUAGUGCUAAGUAAUUCCAAAAAUCCUGUCUAGUAUAUUUGCAAUAAAAUGCCCUCCCACCUAGGCCUAGUGCCAGCUUUUCAGCUUCUGCUGACAGUUUCAGCUAUUUGCCGACAUGCAUUCAUAACUUUAUCACAUAGAUAGAGAUGUCCAUGUAUUUAUAUAAAUUAUAUAUUAAUUAUAUAUUUAAUGGCCAAUUUAGUU
Oxyura jamaicensis (ruddy duck) is the source of this 332-nucleotide long non-coding RNA. RefSeq lists it as uncharacterized. The transcript is spliced from 2 exons. NCBI's taxonomy places the organism in Eukaryota, Metazoa, Chordata, Aves, Anseriformes, Anatidae. The record is from RefSeq and is a predicted model, not a curated record.